GACGAACGCUGGCGGCGUGCCUAACACAUGCAAGUCAACUUGAAGGAAGGAGCAAUCUGACCUGAUGGUGGCGCAAGGGUGCGUAACGCGUAAGUAACUUGCCCAAGGUAAGGAAUAACGUCGAGAAAUCGGCGCUAAUACCUCAUAAUGCAGCGGACCCGCAUGGGUAUGUUGUUAAAGGUUUACCGCCUUGGGAUAGGCUUGCGUCUGAUUAGCUAGUUGGUGUGGUAACGGCACACCAAGGCUACGAUCAGUAACUGGUCUGAGAGGAUGAUCAGUCACACUGGAACUGAGACACGGUCCAGACUCCUACGGGAGGCAGCAGUGAGGAAUAUUGGGCAAUGCACGAAAGUGUGA
RNAcentral lists this ribosomal RNA (357 nucleotides) under uncultured bacterium. RNAcentral's name for it is "bacterial SSU rRNA". It matches the Rfam family "Bacterial small subunit ribosomal RNA", at positions 28 to 386 of the family's 1533-position model. The record is from RNAcentral.